RNAcentral lists this ribosomal RNA (253 nucleotides) under uncultured bacterium. Its description in RNAcentral is "partial 16S ribosomal RNA". It matches the Rfam family "Bacterial small subunit ribosomal RNA", at positions 524 to 776 of the family's 1533-position model. The record is from RNAcentral.
GACGAACCGUGCGAACGUUGUUCGGAUUCACUGGGCUUAAAGGGCGCGUAGGCGGGCGGUCAAGUCAGGGGUGAAAUCUUUCGGCUCAACCGGAAAAGUGCCUUUGAUACUGGCCGUCUCGAGGGAGGUAGGGGCAUGCGGAACUUCCGGUGGAGCGGUGAAAUGCGUAGAUAUCGGAAGGAACGCCGGUGGCGAAAGCGGCGUGCUGGACCUCUUCUGACGCUGAGGUGCGAAAGCGUGGGGAGCAAACAGG